GACGAACGCUGGCGGCAGGCUUAACACAUGCAAGUCGAGCGCCUCGCAAGAGGAGCGGCAGACGGGUGAGUAACGCGUGGGAACGUACCCUUAUCUUCGGAAUAGCUCUGGGAAACUGGAAGUAAUACCGAAUGUGCCCUUAGGGGGAAAGAUUUAUCGGAUAAGGAUCGGCCCGCGUUGGAUUAGCUAGUUGGUGGGGUAAAGGCCUACCAAGGCGACGAUCCAUAGCUGGUCUGAGAGGAUGAUCAGCCACAUUGGGACUGAGACACGGCCCAAACUCCUACGGGAGGCAGCAGUGGGGAAUAUUGGACAAUGGGCGCAAGCCUGAUCCAGCCAUGCCGCGUGAGUGAUGAAGGCCUUAGGGUUGUAAAGCUCUUUCACCGGAGAAGAUAAUGACGGUAUCCGGAGAAGAAGCCCCGGCUAACUUCGUG
This 431-nucleotide ribosomal RNA is filed under the name uncultured bacterium. RNAcentral describes it as "partial 16S ribosomal RNA". It matches the Rfam family "Bacterial small subunit ribosomal RNA", at positions 28 to 507 of the family's 1533-position model. The record is from RNAcentral.